This 775-nucleotide ribosomal RNA is filed under the name uncultured Neocallimastigales. RNAcentral describes it as "partial large subunit ribosomal RNA". It matches the Rfam family "Eukaryotic large subunit ribosomal RNA", at positions 24 to 644 of the family's 3401-position model. The record is from RNAcentral. Lineage: Eukaryota; Fungi; Neocallimastigomycota; Neocallimastigomycetes; Neocallimastigales.
UAUCUCUGUAGAGUCUGCAUACAAUAAGCGGAGGAAAAGAAACUAACAAGGAUUCCCUUAGUAACGGCGAGUGAAGCGGGAAGAGCUCAAAUUUGAAAUCUUCAAGGUUCUACCUUGACGAAUUGUAGUUUAAAGAAGUGUUUUCUGUUAGAUGAGUAGCAAAAGUUCCUUGGAAUGGGACAUCAUAGAGGGUGAGAAUCCCGUAUUUGGUUAUUCAUUCUAGCUUUGUGAUACACUUUCAAAGAGUCGGAUUGUUUGGGAAUGCAGUCCAAAAUGGGUGGUAAAUUUCAUCUAAAGCUAAAUAUUGGCGAGAGAACCGAUAGCGAACAAGUACCGUGAGGGAAAGAUGAAAAGAACUUUGAAAAGAGAGUUAAACAGUACGUGAAAUUGUCAAAAGGGAAGCGUUUGACACCAGUGUUGUUUUUUCCGAAAAUCAAUUACGAAUGGCUUGAUUUUGUGUUGUAUUGACCUUAUCAGCUUUCUUCACUUUUUUCGAGUCUUUCUUAAUGCACUUUUCGGUUAACAAGUCAACAUCAAUUUCUUUUGUUGUAAAAGAGUAUUCGGAAGGUGGCUUUCUUUUCGGAGAAAGUGUUUAUAGCCCUAUACUUCUACAAUCGGAGAGAUUGAGGUCUGCAGCGUAGAUCCUUCGGGGUUAGAUACAUUUGUGCUAAGUUGUAGCUUUUCAUAGACAACUUGUUGACUAUGUUUAGUCAUGCGGCUUACUCGCUUAUGCUAUUUUACCUACGCUUAGGAUGUUGACUGAUAUGUAGUCGUA